UGUCAUCUCUUAACGUUGCUGGCUUUGGAAAAUGGCGCUCAGAAUUUUGCUUUGCCUUCACCGUUCUCUUUUUCCAUUUUCUCAUCAGUUUUCCUUUUCCCUUUCCAAAACCCUAAAUUAAACCAUGGCCGCAUACCUCUUUCCACCAUGACAAUCUUCGAUCUGAAUAUUUAUAUCCAUUAUUCUGGCCGUUCACUCCAUUUCGCAAUGAAUCAAGACUUGAUAACCACAAAGAAUUGCAUCAACAAUCAUCAAGAAUCAACAUAAUCCAUGUUAAUCAUCGAUUCUUGCUUCCAAUUUCUUAUUAUAGUUCGCAUUGUCGGGAUUUGCGUUGGUGAUUGUAGACUGGUUAUGCAGCGCACGGGCGUAUGCCAGCGCUCUUAUUGCAGGCUAUGGCGAGGUUUUCACAAAGGAUGACCUUGAUUACAUCGCGUAGUUUCUACUAGAAGCAUUUUGUAUAUACACCUACUCUAAUGUCAACAGUUUUAUCUUAAAUCUUAAUCAAAUUUUAGUUUAUCCCAUUUGUAAAUCUCCUUUACAAAAGUGCUAUCAAAAUUUUCAUUCUCAUUUGUUUUUACUUAUGGGUCAAUAUGGGUUACACUUAAAACCUGACGGGUCAAACAACUUUUUUUUGUCAAAAGGGAAAUAUGUCGAAUGGUUAAAUUUUGGCCUAACGAGACAAAUAUUUUUUUUUUAUUUUUUAAAAAGGGAAACAUAUCAAAUACGUUAAAUGCCGUUCAUUUUUUAGCCAAACGGGUCAAAAACUUUUAUAACGAAAAGGGAAAUAUGUCAAACGAUUGAUUUUUGCUUAACGGGUCAAUUUCGGUUAUAGUUUUUGCACACACUACAUAACCUCUCUUCGUUUCACCGUCACCCUCCAUACACCACCAUAAAGGUUACCGAUUGACUGAACUGGGUUCAUCACAGUUGCAAACAAUUACCUCAGUGGUACCAUACCAACUGAAUUGGGUUCAUCACAGUUGCAAUCAAUCUCUCUUCUUGGAAACCGCUUUUUUUGGAAAGAUAGCAGCGGAACUGGGAAAUAUUACAACUUUGACAUAUUUGUACGUUGUAUUUAUUUUCUAUUUGGUAGUGUUUGUUAUUAACAGUCCAAUUUAUUAGAUGACUAUGU
This is a long non-coding RNA of Helianthus annuus (common sunflower), 1132 nucleotides long. RefSeq lists it as uncharacterized. The record is from RefSeq and is a predicted model, not a curated record. Lineage: Eukaryota; Viridiplantae; Streptophyta; Magnoliopsida; Asterales; Asteraceae. The transcript is spliced from 4 exons.